Molecule: long non-coding RNA, 614 nt
Organism: Xenopus laevis (African clawed frog)
Lineage: Eukaryota; Metazoa; Chordata; Amphibia; Anura; Pipidae
Exons: 2
Source: RefSeq, a predicted model, not a curated record
AGUGAUUUCUAAUGGCAGCCCUGUUCCCAACCAUUGAGUGUUGCUAUUUGUGGGUUAUAUACUGCUACAUAAUGGCUAAUACUACGGUUUGUACUAACUGUGGUAAAAUGUAUUUCCUAUAAACACAGGUGACUUCCUCUACUUCCUCCCUAGCAAAAAUAUGGCAUUUCUACCAUGCUUUACACAUGGAAGUGUAGAAUCAUAUUGCAUGUGCACUCACAAGACUUCUGGGAAACAAAGGUUAUCCUCCUGUGUGUCAAAAUCACCCAAAGACAUAUCUGUGCGUUAUAAUGUGGAUGAGACAACAAAGGAAGCAGAACGGGGCUGUUCACUGAAGUCGACAAAUUGCAGGGAUAUUUCCAACACUUGUAGGUGCCCUUUGUGGAUAACCAAUUGUCUGAAGGAGAAGAAAUGGGACUGGAGACCAUACUGGGCGAUAGCCUAUUUCCCAGGGUACAGGAUCUUCUAGAAACUAACUUUAAUUGACUAUUGGACAAAAUGUCUUUCAUUAUGGGAUCAUUAUACAAUAUUGGGAGAUGUUUAUGUAUUGUUUUACAAAUAUCAUUAUAUUCUAAACUUUACUCCGUACUGAAAUAAAUCGGAUUGUUUUUGUC